CUUGGUUCAGGAUGAACGCUAGCUACAGGCUUAACACAUGCAAGUCGAGGGGCAGCAGGGCAAUAGCUGCUAUUGCUGCUGGCGACCGGCGCACGGGUGAGUAACGCGUAUCCAACCUACCCCGCGGUCAGGGACAGCCCGGCGAAAGUCGGAUUAAUACCUGAUGUUGUCAGAAGAGGGCAUCUGAUUUUGACGAAGAUUCAUCGCCUCGGGAUGGGGAUGCGUAGGAUUAGGCAGGCGGCGGGGUAACGGCCCACCGCGCCGACGAUCCUUAGGGGUUCUGAGAGGAAGGUCCCCCACACUGGUACUGAGACACGGACCAGACUCCUACGGGAGGCAGCAGUGAGGAAUAUUGGUCAAUGGGCGCGAGCCUGAACCAGCCAAGUAGCGUUGCAGGACGACGGCCCUAUGGGUUGUAAACUGCUUUUAUGCGGGGAUAAAGUGCGGCACGUGUGCCGUUUUGUAGGUACCGCAUGAAUAAGGACCGGCUAAUUCCGUGCCAGCCGCUGC
RNAcentral lists this ribosomal RNA (510 nucleotides) under uncultured bacterium. Its description in RNAcentral is "bacterial SSU rRNA". It matches the Rfam family "Bacterial small subunit ribosomal RNA", at positions 18 to 518 of the family's 1533-position model. The record is from RNAcentral.